AUUUAUUAACAUUAUUCAAUAUUAAACAUAAUCAAACUGACAAUAAGUUUAUACACAAAUACGUAUUAUUGUUAUCGUUAUUACUAUGUGCGCAAUAAUACUCAUUUAACAAAUUAAUAUCUGUCGAUUAACUUCCCUAGGAAAGAAAGAGUUUACUUUUGCUCGUUUCAGAUUCUGAGUGCGAGUUGAAGAAAAGAAAUUUUCGACGCUGCACACACUUCAACAUAUUUCUUUGAAAUGUUUAGCUUGUCUGAAAUUGAUAGCGCUUUACGGCUUAUUCCACUAGAAUCCACC
Non-coding RNA from Cinara cedri, 294 nucleotides. NCBI's taxonomy places the organism in Eukaryota, Metazoa, Arthropoda, Insecta, Hemiptera, Aphididae. The record is from the annotation of a GenBank genome assembly.